CACCGGUGGCGAAAGCGGCUCUCUGGUCUGUAACUGACGCUGAGGCUCGAAAGCGUGGGGAGCGAACAGGAUUAGAUACCCUGGUAGUNCACGCCGUAAGCGAUGAGUGCUAGGUGUUAGGCCCUUUCCGGGGCUUAGUGCCGCAGCUAACGCAUUAAGCACUCCGCCUGGGGAGUACGACCGCAAGGUUGAAACUCAAAGGAAUUGACGGGGGCCCGCACAAGCGGUGGAGCAUGUGGUUUAAUUCGAAGCAACGCGAAGAACCUUACCAGGUCUUGACAUCCCGAUGCCCGCUCUAGAGAUAGAGUUUUACUUCGGUACAUCGGUGACAGGUGGUGCAUGGUUGUCGUCAGCUCGUGUCGUGAGAUGUUGGGUUAAGUCCCGCAACGAGCGCAACCCUUAUUGUUAGUUGCCAUCAUUCAGUUGGGCACUCUAGCGAGACUGCCGGUAAUAAACCGGAGGAAGGUGGGGAUGACGUCAAAUCAUCAUGCCCCUUAUGACCUGGGCUACACACGUGCUACAAUGGCUGGUACAACGAGUCGCAAGUCGGUGACGGCAAGCUAAUCUCUUAAAGCCAGUCUCAGUUCGGAUUGUAGGCUGCAACUCGCCUACAUGAAGUCGGAAUCGCUAGUAAUCGCGGAUCAGCACGCCGCGGUGAAUACGUUCCCGGGCCUUGUACACACCGCCCGUCACACCACGAGAGUUUGUAACACCCGAAGUCGGUGAGGUAACCUUUUAGGAGCCANCCGCC
This 751-nucleotide ribosomal RNA is filed under the name uncultured bacterium. Its description in RNAcentral is "bacterial SSU rRNA". It matches the Rfam family "Bacterial small subunit ribosomal RNA", at positions 707 to 1457 of the family's 1533-position model. The record is from RNAcentral.